CUCACCCUCACUUCCUCUUCUUGUAUCUCUUCUGCCUUCCUUGCUCUUCGCUCUUCUUGUCGUUCUCCUCCUCUUCUCCCUCCUCCUCUCUCUAGGUUUUUUUCGGGUACCGUGGUUGGGUCCGGUAGCAUAACUCUUUCUUUUAUUCUUUGCAUCGGUGGCAGGGCAGCUUGGAUCUCAGAACCAUAGAUUCCUUUCUGUUUAUUUAUUUAUUUUGAUGGAAGGUUGGAUCUGCGACUCUGAGGAUGUCUCACUCUUCUUUCUUCAUCCGAGAUAAGUUCUCGUUCAUUUUCUCAAUUUCCUUCGAUUUAUGACAUUUUUUUUUGCUAUUCCUUGCUUCUAUAUUCAUUUUUUACCAAGAGCUCUAAAGAUUCUACGAACAAUACAAUUUGAAGACACAAAAGGGUUUCAUCAUAGAUGUUGUUUAAGUCCAUGUAGUUUUGUUCUUGGGUUUCUGAAAACAAGAACAGAAAGCAAGAGGGCUAUGAUGAUUUUACCAGGGGACUAGGGCUUAAGCCCUUUCCAGAUGCAUUUUUAGGGAUACACGGCAUUUUGCUGUGCAUAUGGUACCUUAUCCUCUCCAUGAUUACUGACGCCGGGCAUACGUGAUGUAAAUAGCUUCGAUUUAGGUCUUCUGCGGUGUUGAAAUGGAAAACUUCAAAUGUCGCUGGAUGCAAUUCAUGGAGUCCGAGAUUUUUAAGGGGCUUUUGUCUAUGACUGUUAGAUUGAGCAAGCUGUUCGUAAGCAGCUCAUGUUCAGCUGAGCUUGAGCUGGAACUAAGCUUGGUUUGCUUGAGUUCAGCUCGAUUCAUUUUUGCAGGUUUGUUGGAAUAGGCAGGGAAGAAUGAGAUGCUCUGCUGUUUUGCAGGCAACCAUGGCAGCCAUUUUAUUAGAUCUGUUAUUUUGAGGCACUUGUUGCUUUCUUAUAAGGUCUUUAAGUCUUGAUAUAUCAGUUGUGAUGGUGAGUGGUUGAGACCGAGAUGAACUGAGGUCUCGGUUUAUCUUUUAGCCAAUAUGGUAAGUGGGGACAUCGGAAGAGAAUGAAGAUUUUCCAAGAUCUCAGCUGACAUUUUUAGACUGAGAUAUUGAAUUGUCAGCCGAUAUGGGAAAUAUGAAAUUAAAAACUAUACUUAAGCAUCGAUUUCUAAUUUCACUAGUUAAAAAAGCCUAUUUAGGGAAGUAAAAAGAUGACCGAAAAAUAUCAGCGAAUAUGAAUGUAUCGUAUCAGCUGAUAUCUGAUAUUUUAUCAGUUUAUAUCACCAGGGCGAGUUUUUUAUAUCUAUACUAUAUGUAGAAAUGAUAGUUUUGAAAAUCAGAGAAUAUCCUCUUGAUUUCUUGUCACAUUUUAUACUUGGAAACGUCUAAUUAUUUAAAAAAAUACGUUAAUUAUCCCACUGGUGAAUUGAUUGGAUUCUAUCACUUGGUCUCUUCUCUCUUCCCUUUAAGAUGCAUUGGAUGUGUCCGGUGGCUAGUACAUUGUAUCAAGGGGUGCCCGAUAUUUAUGCAGUCUGAGAUCUUGGCUGAGAUGAAAACCUUGCUUUCUUAAUCACGCAUUGUUCAGCAACAUGGACAGAUCUGAGCCUUUUUUUUAGGAAAAAAUUCUCCUAUGCCACUUAUGAAAUAGUUGGUAUUGCUUUUUAAAAAAAAAAGGAUUUGUGAUUUUUGGAGCAAAAAAGCACUUCAUAAAGGAAAACAGAAGUAUUUGAUAACAUUAUAUGGAAAGUGCUUUCAUGAGAAGAUAAAGUCAAAAAACACAUAUAGAAGAAGCUAGAAGGCUGAACUUUUGGUUUCUUCAUCUCUUUUUACAAACUAGAAGCAACAUCGAAGAGCAAGCACAUGCUUAAUGAGGCUUGUGGUAGAGGUUGGGAGGAUUUAGAGGCUGCCUUCUUUCCUUAGGUCAUGUUUCGUUUAUUGUGUCUUUGUUAGCUUUUUAGAGAAGGGCUAGGCCAUUGAUGGGGCGUGACAUUGAGCAGAUCAGAUUGAAACUAGUUUGAUAGCUGGUUUGGCUUGGUGCAAUGUCAAAGGGUUUUGGUUUAAAGGACCAAACCCUCAUGCCAUGUGGCUUAUUAGCAGUGCAGAGAAACUUUUUGAUAGAAAUAACACUACAGGGCUUGACCUUGGUAACAAAAAAGAAAUUGGAAAUGUUUUUGUAACUCAAUAAUGUAAAUCAAAAAGUCACUUAACUGGUGUGUUUUAUCCUCAUUGGUCCCUUUGAAUUGGCAUCAUGUAGUGCCUACCGCACCAUGAAGCAAAGUGAAUGGACUGCACUGUUGGAUCAUUUGCCAUAUGAUGGUUGUUUCAGUUCAUAGUGUUGGCGAGAUACAUGGUGGGGUGUGCUAUAAAGUAUCAAUGCCUUUUUGACACAUGGCAACGAGGCUUUUCUUGUGUUGUUAUCAAGUUGUUAAUAGAAGUUAGAAUCUAGUUUUAAACUCUUGAACAUGUUAGGAUUGAGUUGGAGUUAAUCAUGUAUGUAUCUAUGUUUUAAACUCUUUCAGCCAUGUAGUAAUGUUUAAUUGCAAAUGUAGAGACAAGAAGGAAAAGGAAAUACUGCACAUGUCAAGAAGGAUAAAUACAUGCAUGUAUAUGUGGGUGUAUGCAUGUGUGUAUGAUGUAUAUGUGUGUGUGUGUGUAUGUAUGCACACUAGUAUAUAUGUAAAGCUAGCUUAUCACAUUUCUUCCUGUUCUGAUUAUUUAAUACAUUUAAUUAUAAUGUUAUUGAUUUAUGUUUAUAGAAAUUGAAAUGAAGUUAAGGAUUAUAAAUUUAUGACAAUAAGCAUGUAAUCUAUACCCAGGCCUUGGAGAUUCAUAUGGAGAAAGAAUAAACAGAGUAGCUUCUCUGAUUUUUUGAAGUCAACUGUUUUAGCGUAGAUGCAAAUAUAUUCUCAAGAAGCUUAAGUUAUAGGAUAAUGGAGACAAAUAGCUUUAAGAUGAGAGACAGCAAAGCCAGACACACUAGUGCAAUUUUGGUCAUAUGUUUUGGCUUUAAAGGGGAAAACCAGUCAUAGAUGAGAGAUUGGAGACCUAAGAAGAUUUCAUAUUCAAUUCCUGGAGGCAUGUACAAAACUCAUUACCUGGAAAAUUCCAUGUAAUGUCAGGGUAAGCAGAGGCAUUCUGAAUGAGGACAGUGUUCUUUGUUGCUGAACUUUCUUUGCAUGCCCCUAGAUGGUUGCAAUGUCCAGAGUGUGAAUGCUCUAAAGCCUCAGAUGUAGGAAAUUCCAAUGAUCAGGAUUCAUGGCAGAUUUUUAUUUCUUUGAAUUUCAAUCAAUUCAGUCUUUGGCUGGAUCCUUGAGAUGUAAUGUAGUUUUGCAAGGAGGAAUUGAGUUGCAAGAUUCAUUUUUACUCAUGUUGGCAUGUCUAAAUUGGAUGUUGUGUUGUUGGACUAGCAAUCAUGUGCAACCAAGAUUUACCGUACCGAUCGGUACCAUACUGGUACCGAGCCGAUAUGUAGUCUCGUACCAUACAGACACUAGUUGUCUUAUACUGUACCAUGUACGGAUACUUGAGAUGGUACAUGUGUGGAGUCCAUUACCAAGACGGCUAUCCUUGGGUGCAGCUAUUACAUAAUUCACAUUAGACUUGUUAAAUAAGCAUGCCAGUUUUCUGCAGCUCAUAUCAAAAUAAGCAUGAGUUUGAGCUAUAAAUACUUUAAAUCUCAGCUUAAUAUUCGGCCUGCUUGAUUGCACUUCCCCAGAUGAUGGCAAACAAAUGAGCAAAACUGGGCCUCUUUUACCAACUCACAGUAUUCUUGGUUUGCUUUCUAGGUCCUGCUAGUCAAUAUGUUUCUUCUUCUUAGCUUUGUUUCGUUUUUUUUUUUUAAUUUUUAAGAUUCCUGUGUUAGUAAUAGGUCUGUGAGACAAUUGAUCUAUUUGUGAGCAGCUUGUAUUUGACUUGAAAUUUUGGGUUCAAUUUGUCUCACUCACUUUGUAACAAGGUAAGCGAGGUAAGCUAGAGCUUGACUUGGCUCACUCGAGCUCCGCUUGGUAUGGGGAAAAACAAGUUAUUACUGGAUAUUAUUUAUUAUUUAUAUGAAAAUCUUAUUUUCGUAUUUGUUUGUUGAAGGCUAACAUAGUUUAAUGAAAAAGAAUGUAAUUUCUUCUAUAAUACUGAGAUAUGAUGGUGGAGAUUAGCUAAAAGAACUAUAUGAAAGCCUUAAAAGGACUUACAGUCUUUCUAAAUCUGUUGAACAAACUGUUUGUGAGCAGCUCAAGUUUGGCUGGAAAUUAAAUGGGCUAGCUUGAACUUAGGUUGGUUGCAAAAUGAGCUGAGCUAGAGUUAGGCUUGGCUCACUUGAGGUUGACUUGUUUGCACCCCUAAUCAUUAAACCAUUUCUGUUCUAUUUUCAGCAGCAUGGCUAAGCUUGGAUAUUGAAACUUGGCUUUGUUAUUUUGAGGCCUGGAGGAACCAGUCUUCUCUUUGGAUUGCAUUGAUAUCAUGAUUUGUAACUUUCAAUGUUGCCAGAGUUGAUACUUGAUACCGUGUUGAUUUGUUAAGGAAAUGUAUAUUCUCAAACAUCCUUUAUUCUGGCAAGGCUUCUUGUGGUAUGUAAUUUGUUAUAUCCUUUUUGCCGAGAAGGAUUGCCUCCUCUUUCCAGCCAGUGGGUCCCCCAACAUUUUUCCUUCUGCUGCUUCAUUCAUUCAUCCAUUUUUGCUCCUUCCUCUUCUUGUCUGCGGUCAGAGGCUGUGAUGAUUUGCCUUUGCAUCUCCAUGAUGCUUCAAGUGCUGAAAUUGUAUGCUUACAUCUGCAAGAGCACCUAGAUUCUCUCUCUCUCUCUCUCUCUCUCUCUCUCUAUAUAUAUAUAUAUAUAUAUAUACAUACACAUAUACAUAUAUAUGGACAUACAUGCAUACAUACAUACAUACAUAAAUUCAUACGUAUGUGUGUUUGUGUAUGUGAAUCCACAUCGGUUGAAUUAGCCAUGCACAUCUUGCAUGCUGACUACCAUUUUGCCUUACUCUAACUGGUGUAGCAAAUUUGGAUGGCUUGCUAUUUUUUGCAGGCAACCAAUUGCAGCCUGUUAGACCCUUCUCAGUGUAUGAAAAUAGGCAAAGCUGAGCCUCUGAUUCUUCCUAUGAUUGACACUCUUUUGUUAUCUUUUUGUUCUUUUCUUGUGCUUUUUCAGUACUGUUAUAUUUUUUCACAUGUUUUGAAUUUGCCAUGGACAUCGUGCAUAAUGACUGCUAGUUUGCCUUGCUCUAACUUGUGUGGCAAGAUUGGAUGGCUUGCUGUUUUGCAGGCAACGUUGCAGCCUGUUAGAGACCCUUCUCAGUGUAUGAAAAUGAGCAAACUUGGAGCCUCCAGUUCUUCUAAAUUUGACACUUUUGUUAUCCUUCUGCUGUGUUUUUUCCAGUACCUUCCUCGUUUUUCCUUUUUUCCUCCUCUUCAGGAUUUAUGCUUCUAACUAUUCCUAUUCUUCCUCUCUUAUACUCUGUUAUUCUUGAAUGUGCAUAUGUUACAUUAUUUCCUUGCAGGACUAGAUUGUUCAUACAUUGUUCUGUUACUUAAGUUUUAUUUUUUAAAUUCUGAGUCCAGGUUAAGAAUCUACUGUGCCUUUUCUUUUUUACUUUUUUCCUGCUUGGCCUCCUUUAUGCAUAGCUGGAGGGGCAUCCAUGAACAGGACACUUCUAGUCACUGAUAACAGGCAUGUCUACUGUAGGAUUAUCCAAGUCUAAUUUUCUCAUUACAAACAAUGCGUUUAAAUAGGUGUUUUGAAUCUUUGGAGACUUUUGGAAAGUUACAAGUUGGAUGCUAGAUAAUACUCUUCUCGUUUCCAGGUUUUUCAAAUGUUUAGUUUUCUUGCCCUGUAUCAUUGGCGGUGUCUCAUCUAAAAAUUCUGCUGUAAUAUACAUGUAUUUAUCUGUGUUAUAAGUGUAUUUUUUUGUAGAAUUUGGCAAGAUAAAUACGAAAGGCUCUUCCUUUGGGUGCAAAAUGUAACAUGAUUACAUACUCGUUUUGUUAUGUAGAAGGAAACCUGGUCAUGCUUUAUCUGGUCAAACUAUCAUGCUAUUAGGAAUUCUAAGAUAGAAAGCUCCACUUCCUGGAUACCUCAAGGUGGAAAGUCCAGGGGCGUUAUUGUUCAUAUAAAACGGGCAUCAGCGAACAGCAUUCAUCAAAAACCAAGAUGUGAUGUAUCAAACACAUGAAUCGGUUCCCGGAAGUGAUAAUUUAUAUGACAUCUGUGCACAUUGAUGUCUGUGUCACUGAUACCAGCAUCCUGUAUUGAACAUUUGCAGCCCAUGCCUAAGCCUUUGCGCGCGCUCUCUCUCUCUCUAAUGCCACAUUGGCUACCCUAGUCAUGUUUUUUUUUUGUCUUUUUCUUAAUUAGUGUGAUAUAAUGGUUGACUUAUUGGGUCUUCCUCAAUGUUCUGACUAUUUAUGGAAUUUGAGAAGUAGAUAAAUAGUCGUAUGCUUCUCAAAAGAAA
This is a non-coding RNA of Phoenix dactylifera (date palm), 6418 nucleotides long. The record is from RefSeq and is a predicted model, not a curated record. Lineage: Eukaryota; Viridiplantae; Streptophyta; Magnoliopsida; Arecales; Arecaceae.